This 1705-nucleotide long non-coding RNA is filed under the name Sus scrofa (pig). Its description in RNAcentral is "lncRNA (ENSSSCG00000055847.1)". Lineage: Eukaryota; Metazoa; Chordata; Mammalia; Artiodactyla; Suidae. The record is from RNAcentral.
AGGGCCACACCUGUGGCAUAUGGAAGUUGUCAGGCUAGGGGUCAAAUCAGAGCUGAAGCUGCCAGCUUAUGCCACAGCCUCAGCAAUGCCAGAUCCAAACUGCAUCUGUGCCCUAUACCACAGCUCACAGCAAUGCUGGAUCCUUAACUCCCUGAGUGAGGCCAGGGGUUGAACCUGCCUCCUCCUGGAUAAUUAGUCAGGUUCUUAACCCACUGAUCCACAGUGGGAACUCUGUGAAACUACAUUCUGAUAGAGAAUCCAGAGGAGUUCUCUUGUGGUACAGUGGAUUAAGGAUCUGGCAGAGUCACUGCAGUGACUUGAGUCACUGCUGUGGCACAGGUUCAAUCCCUGGCCCUGGAAGUUUGAUAUACUGCAGGUGCAUCCCCUACCCAUCCCCUGUAAAAAAGAAAGAAUCCAGUUCUAGAGAAUGAUCUGCCCUACUUUUGUAGAUUUAUGAAACAAAAAGGGGUCAGUGUGCAGGACUGUUGCUGUUACAUGCAGAGCAUUGGUCUUUACUGACCACAGGUUUCCUGUGGCUGUAGCAGCUACCACAAAUGAUGGCUUAAAAAACAGUGGAACUGUGGGAGUUCCCAUCGUGGCUCAGCAGAAACGAAUCUGACUAGUAUCCAUGAGGGUGCAGGUUUGAUCCCUGGCCUCACUCAGUGGGUCGAGGAUCUGGCAUUGCCGUGAGCUGUGGUGUAGGCUGGCAGCUGCAGCUCUUGAUUCGACCCCUAGCCUGGUAACUUCCAUAUGCCAUGACUGCGGCCCAAAAAAGACCAAACAAAACCAAAAAAAAUAAAUAAAUAAGUGCAUUCUCCAGCGUGGGCUCCCUUUGGCGGCUCUAGGGGAAGGUCUGGUUCUCACCUUUUCCAGCUUCUGAGGGCCUCGUGGCAGUCCCUGGUUGUUGGUGGCAUCAGCAAACUCCCCCGUCUGUCUUUACAUUGUCUUCUCCUAAGUCUAAAUACUCACUCUGCCUUUCUGCAUGAGGACACAUGCAAUUGAAUCUAGGGCCCACCCAGGUCAUCCAAGACAAACCCUUGAGGACUUGGAUGUAUUUUUAAUUUUUUUUUGUCUUUUUAGGGCCGCACCCUCGGCAUAUGGAAGUUCCAGGCUAGGGGUCGAGUCAGAGCUGCAGUGCUGGCCUACACCACAGCCACAGCAAUGCAGGAUCUGAGCCAUAUCUUCGACCUACACCACAGCUCAUGGCAACACUGGAUCCUUAACCCACUGAGUGAGGCCAGAUAUCGAACCUGCAUCUUCAUGGAUGCAAGUCAGAUUCAUUCCUGCUGAGCUACGACCAGAACUCCAGGACUUGGAUGUAUUUUUGAGGCGUCUCUUCAACUCACCAUACCAGGAUAUUUCUGUGGCUCCAAAUAGCCAACCAAAAAAGAUAGUAAAAAAGCAGAGCUCAGGCCUUUCCCCUGUGGCACAGUGGAUUAGGAUCAGACUUUAGCCACUGGGGUUGCUGCCAAGGUGCGGGUUCAAUCCCCGGCCCAGCGCAGUGGGUUAAAGGAUCUAGCAUUGCCACAGCUGUGGCAUGGGAUCACAAUUGUGGCUCAGAUUCAAUCUCUGGCCCGGGAAUUGCAUAUGCUGUGGGUGUGGCCAUAAGAUGAAAAAAAAAGGGGGGGGCACAAAAAUAUUUCCCAUAUAUCAAGCCAUUGUUAUUAAGUACCUAGAUUUUUUUUUAAUUGUGGUUUCUCUACCU